This is a small nucleolar RNA of Alligator mississippiensis (American alligator), 142 nucleotides long. It matches the Rfam family "Small nucleolar RNA SNORA12". Rfam says of the family: U108 belongs to the H/ACA family of snoRNAs. The sequence is predicted to guide the pseudouridylation of the U372 residue in the 28S rRNA subunit. However it has not been reported as a pseudouridylation site. The record is from Rfam. Lineage: Eukaryota; Metazoa; Chordata; Crocodylia; Alligatoridae.
UAUUGUGGUAGUCUUCCUGUGGCGGAUCAGUUACAGUAUCAGAUCAGCCUCGAACUACCACAUAGAGUAUUGAGGAGGAGGACUGUCUUGAAAACUGUUCUAGGACUUUCAGUUUUCUGUUAUGCUUCUAACUCCCACAGAA